Molecule: ribosomal RNA, 589 nt
Filed under: uncultured bacterium
Lineage: Bacteria
Description: bacterial SSU rRNA
Rfam family: Bacterial small subunit ribosomal RNA (bases 1-525)
Source: RNAcentral
CCUACGGGAGGCAGCAGUGGGGAAUAUUGCACAAUGGGCGCAAGCCUGAUGCAGCGACGCCGCGUGAGGGAUGACGGCCUUCGGGUUGUAAACCUCUUUCAGUAGGGAAGAAGCGAAAGUGACGGUACCUGCAGAAGAAGCGCCGGCUAACUACGUGCCAGCAGCCGCGGUAAUACGUAGGGCGCAAGCGUUAUCCGGAAUUAUUGGGCGUAAAGAGCUCGUAGGCGGUUUGUCGCGUCUGCCGUGAAGGUCCGGGGCUCAACUCCGGAUCUGCGGUGGGUACGGGCAGACUAGAGUGAUGUAGGGGAGACUGGAAUUCCUGGUGUAGCGGUGAAAUGCGCAGAUAUCAGGAGGAACACCGAUGGCGAAGGCAGGUCUCUGGGCAUUAACUGACGCUGAGGAGCGAAAGCAUGGGGAGCGAACAGGAUUAGAUACCCUGGUAGUCCAUGCCGUAAACGUUGGGCACUAGGUNUGGGGGACAUUCCACGUUUUCCGCGCCGUAGCUAACGCAUUAAGUGCCCCGCUGGGGNGACGCGCGAGACAACACAAGAAGUAGAGCGNGAGAGNGCGAGACGACGACGAGGGAGAG